CACGUCAGCUAGCUCUCUGCAACUCCCCUACUGAAGCUAAGCAGGGCUGCGCCCGGUCAGUACCUCGAUGGGAGACCACAUGGGAAAGCUAGGUUGCUGCCGGAA
Molecule: ribosomal RNA, 105 nt
Filed under: Danio rerio (zebrafish)
Lineage: Eukaryota; Metazoa; Chordata; Actinopteri; Cypriniformes; Danionidae
Source: RNAcentral